This 449-nucleotide ribosomal RNA is filed under the name uncultured bacterium. Its description in RNAcentral is "partial 16S ribosomal RNA". It matches the Rfam family "Bacterial small subunit ribosomal RNA", at positions 29 to 523 of the family's 1533-position model. The record is from RNAcentral.
AGCGAACGCUGGCGGCAGGCCUAACACAUGCAAGUCGAACGAACUCUUCGGAGUUAGUGGCGGACGGGUGAGUAACACGUGGGAACGUGCCUUUAGGUUCGGAAUAACUCAGGGAAACUUGUGCUAAUACCGAAUGUGCCCUUCGGGGGAAAGAUUUAUCGCCUUUAGAGCGGCCCGCGUCUGAUUAGCUAGUUGGUGAGGUAAAGGCUCACCAAGGCGACGAUCAGUAGCUGGUCUGAGAGGAUGAUCAGCCACAUUGGGACUGAGACACGGCCCAAACUCCUACGGGAGGCAGCAGUGGGGAAUCUUGCGCAAUGGGCGAAAGCCUGACGCAGCCAUGCCGCGUGAAUGAUGAAGGUCUUAGGAUUGUAAAAUUCUUUCACCGGGGACGAUAAUGACGGUACCCGGAGAAGAAGCCCCGGCUAACUUCGUGCCAGCCGCCGCCGUAA